Molecule: ribosomal RNA, 429 nt
Filed under: Chloroflexota bacterium
Lineage: Bacteria; Bacillati; Chloroflexota
Description: Chloroflexi bacterium partial 16S ribosomal RNA
Rfam family: Bacterial small subunit ribosomal RNA
Source: RNAcentral
UGGGGAAUAUUGCUCAAUUGGCGCAAGCUUGAUGCAGCCAUGCCGCGUGUGUGAAGAAGGCCUUCGGGUUGUAAAGCACUUUCAGUGGGGAGGAAGGGAGUAAAGUUAAUACCUUUGCUCCUUGAUGUUACCCGCAGAAGAAGCACCGGCUAACUCCGUGCCAGCAGCCGCGGUAAUACGGUGGGUGCAAGCGUUAAUCGGAAUUACUUGUCGUAAAGCGCACGCAGGCGGUUUGUUAAGUCAGAUGUGAAAUCCCCGUGCGCAACCUGGGAACUGGCUCUGAUACUGGCAAGCUUGAGUCUCGUAGAGGGGGGUAGAAUUCCAGGUGUAGCGGUGAAAUGCGUAGAGAUCUGGAGAAAUACCGGUGGCGAAGGCGGCCCCCUGGACGAAGACUGACGCUCAGGUGCGAAAGCGUGGGGAGCAAACAGG